Molecule: long non-coding RNA, 2422 nt
Organism: Coturnix japonica (Japanese quail)
Lineage: Eukaryota; Metazoa; Chordata; Aves; Galliformes; Phasianidae
Source: Ensembl
CUCAUGGCUAAGCUGCUACAGGACUGUUUUCCCUACUGAACUAAGGAGACAAACCAUGCCAGCUGCUUUUCAAGCAGGUCCCCCACAUUUGUUCCAUUUGUACUGCGUAGGUUUAAGAACUUUCUGCCUGUUCUCCUUCAGAUCAUGGAAUCCUCUAAAGUCUGGGAGACUUCAGCUAGUGUGGCACAGUGUGUUCAGGGCCAUUUCCAAUCUCUAAAAGAAAGGUAACAGCUUCUGUCUUUGUUAAUUUCAGCUGCUUCUGACCAAGUGUAGGGAAAUGCCUUAUUGGACUGCAGUGUUCCCAGUUAUUUGACAGUGUAUUGUCAGCAAAUCAGAAAUAAGGGCACAGAACUGUAUCUUCUGUGUGAAACUUACCAUUUAUUUACAUCUUUACAAUUCAGAAAUAAAAGCCUUGGAGCUCACAAGCCUGUGAGCAAAACAGCUGCUGAGCUGACAGCGAGUCUUCGUCUGCCUCCUCUGUCCUGCUGCGGCCAUCUCCAGCCUCACAGCAGAAGCACGGGAGCCUGAGCAGUCCAGCUGCUCUCAGGCCCACUUCCAAAGCUAUCUGGGUAAGCAGGCACACACACAUCCCUCCCUCUAAAGAAUUUGGUCGGCGCCAUUUCAACCGUGCUCUGGAACCAGCCCUGCCCGAGCAGGGCAGCCCUUUGUGAUUGGUCCUCGUGACACCCAGGCAUAGCUGGCACCACAGUAGGCGGCCUGCAGUGUCUGUCAGGGCAGCGAGGAGACAGGGCAGGAGUGUGCGGGUCUGGCGAAGAGCCCCCGAGCGCAGCCCAAGUCUUUUCCCUCUACCUUUGGCAGCCCCGCGGCUGCCCCAUCCCCACCCUCAGCCUUCAUCCCACGGGAUGGAGGAGAGACCCCCCAGCCGCUCCAGCAUGGCCGGGGAGGAGAGUGGGGCUCCCCAGGACAGAAGAUCUCCAGCGGAGCCCUACCAAGUGACCGAGGUCAUCCCUCUGCAUGCUGAUGCUGAAUUGCUGCCUCUGUCUGAACUGGAAGAGGUGGCCGUAAAUGUCAUCGAAACCUAUGGCAUCAGCAAGGAAAAGGUAAGAGCAGCCAUCUCCAUCUUGGCUGUUCCUGCAUCUCCAGACGGUCCCUCCUUCUGGCUCUGCCUUCAGGCUGCAGGAGGGCUGCUGGCCGGGCAGAGCUGCUGCUGUCCUGCAGCUGUCCUGCGCUGCUCCACACCCCGCAACGCCUGGUCCCCCUGGCCAUGGUUGUCCCCACUCACUCUCCUCGGUCUCUGUGUGCUUGCCAGGAUCUGGUGCAGAAGCUGCAGUUCCUGAACUGCAUUUGCUCACUGUGCAGCACUGCUGGAGAGAAAGGCUGGACAAAGAGCUUGCGUAUCUUCUGCUUGCUCAAAGAUCAGUCAAGAAGAUUGAGGUGAGGGGACAUGGCACCCAGGUACCUGCACCCUGUGAGAAGGACAGGACAGGGGGAGGCAGAAAAAUCAUGCACAGACACCAUAGUGUCCCAGAUGGGACUCCAGGUGUGAGGAGCCCAGGGAGCAGCUGAGCACAGCACUCAGAUACCACUGCAUGAAUGCGAUUGCUGCCCUGAGGUACCUGCCCAGUCCCUGGUUUUGCCAGCACAUCCCUCGGGCACCAUCCUGGUGGCCCUGACGCAGCUCCCCGCUAAGUCUUGGCCCUCGCCCCAAAGCUGGUGACAUCAGGACUGUCCUCUGACCCAGAGCAGCCCCGUGGGGGAGGAGGCACCUCCUGGCAGGGCUCCCCAUCCCUCUCAGGGAGCCUUGCCCAGGGGAGGACCUGUUCCACCCCUGCCUCAGCACCCAGGCACCUCUCCUAGCAUCAGUGUCUCUCUAAUUGCAGCACAGUGAAUGCAGUUACGGAGGAAGAAAUACUCCAUCUCUUCAAGGUGUGCUGCAGCAUCGUCUUCUAUCUUCCUCCAGCCAGGGCCUUGAACAUUUCCCUCUACAACCAGGUAUGUACUGGGCAAUCUACUGUUGACCCCAUGCCUCUGGGCUGCCGCUUGCAUUACUUGUGUCCAGAGAUCUAUCAAGAUGUUUGUGGGAUGAAUUGGCAGCCUUGCUUGCCCUCACCCCUCUCACUCUUGCCUUGGGCUUGGCAAACAGCCUGUGUUGUAGCCUGCUCUGAGUGCAGCAGCCUUGCAGGGUGCCCCUGUGCACAGAUGUGCGUGACAGGAACACAUGUCCCAGCAACGUUGCUGUACAGGUGUCCUAGCAACGUUAAUGAACAAGAAUUAUCCCUCAGAAGGCUAUGCAGGACCAGCGGAAAAGUGCUGGGAGCCUCAGUAUGGACAAUCACCAAUAAGAUGUGUUAGGAAACCUGUUGUCUGCAACUAUCCAUAAGUGAGCAAAACUUCUGUCAGCUUUGUCUCUGGUUGCCACAGAAAGAAUAAAGGGAUCUUUUUUUUAUUUCCUGGAGUGAUU